Acanthosepion pharaonis is the source of this 104-nucleotide non-coding RNA. Lineage: Eukaryota; Metazoa; Mollusca; Cephalopoda; Sepiida; Sepiidae. The record is from the annotation of a GenBank genome assembly.
AUAUCACCUUGGAACGCUGGUUAUCGUCAGAUCACCGAAGUUAAGCAAGGUUGAGUCUGGUCAAUACCUAGAUGGAUGACUUCUUAGGAGUACCAAGUGCUGUA